This is an RNA transcript of Triticum aestivum (bread wheat), 1728 nucleotides long. RefSeq lists it as uncharacterized. NCBI's taxonomy places the organism in Eukaryota, Viridiplantae, Streptophyta, Magnoliopsida, Poales, Poaceae. The transcript is spliced from 12 exons. The record is from RefSeq and is a predicted model, not a curated record.
CGAGGCCAGCACGUGGGUGAUGCAGGCCGCGACCGCGACGCACCGAGGCGGAGGCCACAACGGCGGUCUGUCCCGGACCAAGAGAGAGACACACGGAAGGCGACACGUACUACGGCCCUGAGACUCCGCGAGCGUGCAAGAGACGGUGGAGCACUCGAGGCAGCCGGCGGCGUUUCCUCGCCCGGCCGCUCUCCGCUCCUCGGCAUCGCCGGUGCAAAUGCCUGCGCCGCGACCGCAGCAGCUUCUGCUGCUCCUCGCGGCUACCUGGAGCCUCGGCCUGCUCUGCCUCGCCGCGCCGGAAGGUGGAGGCGGCUCCUGCGAGCUCUCGGUCGAACGCGGUGGCGCGCUCUACAACUUCAGCCUCGCGGCGCCGACGCCGGCCCACCGCCACGGCGUCCUCAGCGAGGAUGGGUUUUACAAAGUGGCCAUGAACGAUUCAGUCAUCUGGUUCCAGCUCUGCGAUCAGAUGAUAUUCAACUUUGACCCACCUGCCUGUCUUCACUGUGAGGACUGUGGUGGUCCAUUGAGGUGUGGCACCCAAUGCAGCGGACUUGCGUCAAAUAACAUUGGAGGGUAUGAUGUUUGUACAACCAUUGGAAGGGCAUCUGGAUCCCAUAUAUCUCUAAUAGAUGAUGGUAAUCCACAAAAGGGUGUCAUUGUCAAGAUGUUUUCAUCAAAGUGUUCUAUUUCUGUUUUCAUCUUUUGUGAUUCAGCUGUAGCCCAACUACCGGAUAAAUUUACCCAAUCUGGAAGUUGUGAUUACGUUACGAUACUUAGACACCCUUCUGGGUGUGCAAGAUCAGUGUCUGAUGCUGGAAAUGGCUGGGGAUGGUUAGGCACUUCGUUCAUAACAAUUUUGUGCCUUCUUGGAGGGUACAUUCUGAUUGGUGCAAUCUAUAGAUAUUAUUUCCUCGGCAUUCAUUCUGUAGAGGCCAUUCCGAACCUGGAAUUUUGGAUCAGUUUGCCACAGAGAAUUAAGAGCAUGUUUGUUCGUUCAAGAAGAAACCCAAGAAGUCAGAGCAGAGAUACUAGAGGACCAUACACCACUAUAAACCACUGAGAAGUAGAAAAAUCCAAUACAAGUAUUGACAGUCACACAGUGAACAAGCAUUCAGAGGCCGGGGGUAUUCCUCCUUUUCAAAAAAAUACAGUGAACAAGCAUAUGUGGAUUGGGGUGAAAGCAAAACCUUUGAUCUCUGCCCAUAUGCCAGAAUAUGAACCUGCCACAGGAUAGUUUCUGAGCUGCAGUAGCCACGUGCUGCUCCUGGGCUCUGUUGCAGAUGACUAGUGGUUUGGCUACAAUUUUUUAACAGAUCCCCCUUUUACGGAUUCAUGGAAUUUCCAUGGUCACUUGGCGUUCCCUUGUCUGUUCUGUGCUGCUUUUGUCCUUGGCAAAUCAGAUUCUGCGGACUUGAGGCCUUGUGGGCAUUGGAGGCUUCAUUUUCUAAAGCACGGAUGUAAUGCGAUCUGCGAUGUUGUUGAUCUGAAUUUAUGUACUGCCACAAAGAUAUUGAUAUGUGUUGAUGUUUGGAUCAUGAAGCCUAUAGAAGCUUUUGAUGACAAUAGUUUGUGCUGCCGAAUAUUCUGUUCAUGAUGCUGUAGACUGCACGAAUUAUCAGGAUGGCAGAAGAGUCAUGGGCUCGAAUCGGAAAGUAUAUGCUUCCUGUGUUCUGUAAGUAUAGGAGCUGACAUUGUUCUGAAUAUUUGCUGAUGACUGCUUCUUCGUUA